RNAcentral lists this long non-coding RNA (929 nucleotides) under Marmota monax (woodchuck). The record is from RNAcentral. Lineage: Eukaryota; Metazoa; Chordata; Mammalia; Rodentia; Sciuridae.
UUGUCAUUUAAGGAGUAAAUGAUUCUUUCACUUUCAAGNGAAUGUAUACAUAUGGCAUAAUGAAUUCCAUUAUUAUGUAUAAUACAUUAAUAAAAAAUUUUAGAACUUCUUAUGGUAACAUUUACCGUAAAGACAGAAGAUUGAUGGCAUUUCUUAGUUUUAGUCAUACCUUGUAUCUUCAUGACAACAUCUGCCUUCAGUUCAAGUGUUUAGUAUAUUUACACUUACUGUAAUUUUGUUUUUGGUGGGAGGCAGUUGCUGAGAAUUGAACCCAAGGGCACUCUGACACUGAACUACACCCCCACCAUUUUUAUUUUGAAAUGGGAUUUUGCUAAGUUGCUAAGCCUAGCCUUGAACUUUCGAUCCUCUAGCCUUGACUUUCUGAGUAUUUGGGAUUAUAGGUGCUUAUCCCCCCAUUUUUUUUUUUAACAUCUGUUCAUUGUUCCUCUGGUUCUUCUUUUGUUUCUUUUGAAUUAAAUAUUUAAAAUUUUACUUUAACUUGCUUUUUGGCUAUACUUUUUGCAUAUUUUUAGUGAUCUUUGUGUAUUAAAAUAUAUAUUAAGGGGCUGGGGAUGUGGCUAAAGCGGUAGCGUGCUCGUCUCGCAUGCGUGCAGCCCGGGUUCGAUCCUCAGCACCACAUACAAAUAAAGAUGUUGUGUCUGCUGAAAACUAAAAAAUAAAUAUUAAAAAAAAUUCUCUCUCUCUCUCUAAAAAAAUAUAUAUUAACUAUUCACAGUCCACUUAGAAUUAAUAUUGCACAUAAAAUAUAAGAACCUUGCAACUUUAUGAGUCCAUUUACAUUUGUCAAUUAUAACUAUAUAUAUUUAAAACUAUAACACGUUUAUGGACAUGUAGUAUGUUGCACAUAUUUAAAUUAAAUGUAACUUUGAUGGUACAUUUUGAAAUGUUGUGUGCCCAUGAAGCCAUCA